GGUCUUUCUUAGGGUGCCUUAGAUGGUGGACUUGACAUUCCUCAUAGUGACAAGAGGUUUGUUGGUUUCAAAAAAGAGGACAAACAACUUGAUCCUGAGGUUCACCGAAAGUAUAUAUUCAGUGGUCAUGUUGCUUCUUACUUGAGGAUGAAGGAAUGGGUAUUGUAUGUUGGAACAAAAGGUUGCUGAUAACAGAAUGUUCACAUGAACUCUUGAAACAAGCAGGAAGCAGCUGCAUGCAAUUCUAUUCAAGUGAGCAGCCUUAAGCCUUGGGGCUUUUUCAGUGGGGUACACUAGACUUAAAUUGAAAAAAUAGAGGAAAAAACCUUUUAAAUCACAUUUAAGAUGGCCCUCAUUAGCUGAGAUUCUUUGACAUUAACAGAGCUUGUGUAGGAGAACUACAUCUCACAUGGAGAAACAGGUA
Long non-coding RNA from Magnolia sinica, 424 nucleotides. RefSeq lists it as uncharacterized. The transcript is spliced from 3 exons. NCBI's taxonomy places the organism in Eukaryota, Viridiplantae, Streptophyta, Magnoliopsida, Magnoliales, Magnoliaceae. The record is from RefSeq and is a predicted model, not a curated record.